Molecule: RNA transcript, 5187 nt
Organism: Daktulosphaira vitifoliae (grape phylloxera)
Lineage: Eukaryota; Metazoa; Arthropoda; Insecta; Hemiptera; Phylloxeridae
Exons: 4
Source: RefSeq, a predicted model, not a curated record
UUUAAAAUCUACCUAAUAUUCAAACUAGUAAUUUUAAAUAUUAGUAUUUUUCUAUAAUGAAAUUAUAUUCUUUUAUUUUAUUACCUAUUUUUUUUUUCGUACUGAAACCAGACGAAGGAGUUCAUUGCAAUAUAUAUCAUGCCCAAUAUAAAAAAUAUAUCGAAAGAGUAGUGAGUUGCAUUUAUUUACAAAUUAUAUACAAUCAAAAACAAAAUUCAAAUGGUGAAGAGGAAGCUUUCCAACAAUACACAGACCUGCGUGAAUUAAAAUUAAAAUAUAAUUAUACAAUAAGUGUACUAAAUUUCGAAUACACUAAAAUAAUAAAAAAAUUCCUUGAAUACUUGGCUAUUAUCAUCCGCAAAUGUCACCAAUGUCAUAAAAAUAAUUUGCCGGAAAAGUUUGUUAAAUGUGUAAUAUUACUUGAAGAUCAAAUAAAAAAUUCCAAGACUAUGUUUGAAAAUCUAUGCAAUGCUAUGAAGUUUAUAAGCUAUAUAGAUAUAAGGUUUUUGUUUUCUGGACGUACCGUACCGCAUGCUAUAAUUGAAGAAAUCGAUUUUAUAUAUCAAUUUGUCUUAGAAAUAAGUUUAGAGAACAGGUCUUUUGAUCUCAAUAAAUCACCAAAUGAAGAGUCUAAAAUAAAAUUUGAUAAUUUUAUUAAAUUUUAUAAAGAUACAUCUAUAAUAGUUAAAUGUCAUAUUGUAGAUAAUAAAUAUAUCGACCCUUCUAUAAAAACUCAUUUGGAAAAUAUUGAAAUUAUUAAAAGCUCUAAGAAAAAGAAUUCUUCCGAUGUUGAUUCGAAACCUCCUAAUGAGUUUUACAACGAAACUAUCAAUAUUUGGUACAAAAACUUAGGCUUUGAACAAUUUCUUGAACCCAUAAUAGCUGAAUUCAUACCUCCAAUUGAUCCAAAAACAAAUCAAAAUGAUGGAAUUAAAGCUCUCAAUGUUAUUCGUAAGGAACCUGGUUGGAAAUCAAUGAAUCACAUAAGUAUAGUUUAUUUUGGUAAACAAAUAAGUGUAGCUCGUAUAAUAAAUGAUGAAGUUAGUAACAUAAAUUUUCGAAUAAAAAAGGAACAUAUAACACAGUUUUUAAGAUGUAGGUAUACAGAAAUAAUUAAAGAAUAUCAUACAAUACUAUCUUCUAUAAUGCAUGUAUGUCAAAAUGAUUUACGUAACUUCUAUCACAAUUGUUUGAUUAAAUUAUUUAACUCAUUCAAGGAAUCCGAAAAAAUGAUCGAAGGAUUGUAUAAAGCUAUGGUUGCUUUAAAUAGAUCAUCAAUAUGGAGUGUUUAUUUGAGCUCUAAAUCAAGUUUACUUAAGGUUUUUCAAUGGGUCACUAUUAUUCUCAGUUUUUUGAAACACAAUAAUUUUAAUCUAGAUAAUUUUAUGGAUAAAUAUGAUAAUAAGAUAGCUAUUAUACUUAAUGAAAAAGAAACUGAAAUCAUUGAAAAACUUCUUGACAUUUUUAUUACAUUCUUAAAAGACAUUGGUGAACUAUUACGCAAUGAUGUGGCACAUCAGGGCACACGGUGUUAUACAAAUAAACGUUUAAAUAAAGUAUGGGAACAUACAAAAAGUGUUAUCAAUUCAUAUAAUACAUUGAAUAAUAAUAAUAAUCCAUAUCUUGGAUUAUUAUCAUACGCAUGUAGUUAUUUAGACAAAUUUUGUGCAGACGUUUAUAAAUCUUGUUAUGAAGAUUUGGGUUUCAAAAAAAUUUUAGACUGUCAACACAAAGAAUUACAUCAAGAUCUCAUUCCAUAUACUGUAGAUUUAUCUACAGUAGAUUUAUCAACAUAGUGUUCAAUGCAUAAUUAAGGCUAAUUAUAUUUUUAUUAUAAAAAAAUAAUUAUUUAUGAAAACAUGUAAAUAAUGUUCCAGUAAAAGUAGUGUAGAAUGAAAAGUCUCGAUGAUUCUACAAUAAUUGUAAAGCAAAAUUAAUCUAUUAUGCUAAACAAAUAUUACACAUAGUUGCACAAAACUAAAAAGAAAACAAUUUUCAAUUUUAUUGAAAUUUUUAAAAUAAACGGCAUUAAACAAUUUGUAAACUUUUUAAAUUUCACGUUACGUUUGCUCAAUUAUACAAGUUUUCUUGCCCUAUCUAAUAUAGUAACUUAGUUUCUUCAGUUUUUUGUGACUCAUUUAAUACAAGACUAAUAUAAGAAGAGUGACCUUUAAUUGACUAUAUUUUGCAUUUGUAAAGACUAUGCAAACCUAGUUACAUCCAGCUCCAUAGUUCCAAACGCAAGCAUUAGUGUUUUAGUUUUAGCAGAACAUCACAUUUUAUAAAAACUCAAAAUGUGUUGAGAAAAACUUCAUUAUACAAUUAUUAACUGAAUAGGAAUAUCGGAAUUUGACAAUAACAUAAUUUGAUUUUGUAAAAUAAAAUGUUAAAGAAAUCAUUGCUUAAUUGAUUAUUUCUACAAGAUUUGAAGACAUUUGAGUUCAUUGCAAUAUAUAUCAUGCCCAAUAUAAAAAAUAUAUCGAAAGAGUAGUGAGUUACAUUUAUUUACAAAUUAUAUACAAUCAAAAACAAAAUUCAAAUGGUGUAGAGGAAGCUUUCCAACAAUACACAGACCUGCGUGAAUUAAAAUUAAAAUAUAAUUAUGCAAUAAGUGUACUAAAUUUCGAAUACACUAAAAUAAUAAAAAAAUUCCUUGAAUACGUGGCUAUUAUCAUCCGCAAAUGUCACCAAUGUCAUAAAAAUAAUUUGCUGCAAAAGUUUGUUAGUUGUGUAAUAUUACUUGAAGAUCAAAUAAAAAAUUCCAAGACUAUGUUUGAAAAUCUACACAAUGCAAUGAAGUUCAUAAGCUACAUAGACAUAAGGUUUUUGUUUUUUGAAUUUGAAGUGCCGCAUACUAUAAUUGAAGAAAUCGAUUUUAUAUAUCAAUUUGUGUCAGAAAAAAAUUUAGAGAAUAGCCCUUUUGAUCUCAACAAAUCAUUUAAUCAAAUAUCUAAAAUAAAACUUAGGAAUUUUGUUAAAUUUCUGAAAGAUUCAACUAAAAUAGUGAACUCUCUUACUGAACAUAAUAAAUACAUAAACCCUUCUAUAAAAACUCAUUUGGAAAAUAUUGAAAUUAAUGAACGCUCUAAGAAAAAUAACUCUUCCGAUGUUUAUUCAAAACCCCCUAAUAAGUUUUACAACGAAACUAUCAAAAUUUGGUACAAAAACUUAGGCUUUGAAGAAUUUCUUGAACCCAUAGAAGCUGAAUUCAUACCUCCAAUUGAUCCAGAAACAAAUCAAAAUGAUGGAAUUAAAGCUCUCAAUAUUAUUCGUAAAGAAUCUGGUUGGGAAUCAAUGAAUCACAUAAUUAUAAUUUAUUAUGAAAAACUAUACACUGUAGAUUAUAUAAUGAAAGACGAAAUUAAUAAUAUAAAUUUUCGAAUAAAAAAAGAACAUGUAUCACAAUUAAUAAGAUGUAGAUAUAUAGAAAUAAUUAAAAAAUAUCGUACAUUAUUAUCUGCUAUAUUAUUUGUAUGCAAUAAAGAUGCAAACGAAUUUUACCAUAAUUGUUUGAUUAAAUUAUUUAGCUCAUUCAACGAAUCCAAAAAAAUGCUUGAAGGAUUAUAUGAAGCUUUAAUUACUUUAAAUAGAUCAUCAAUAUGGAGUGAUAAUUUUAGCUCUAAACUGAGUUUACAUAACAUUUUAAAAUGGGUUUCAGAUUUUCUCCGUUUAUUGAAGACCAAUAAUUUUUAUCAAAAAAGCUUUAUCAUUUUAAAUGAUAAAACAAAAACCGAAAUGGUUGAAAAACUUCUAGAAAUUUUUAUAAGCUAUUUUAACGACUUUAGUUCUGAAUUACAUAGCGAAAUUAGUAUAAUAAACACUCAAUGUCAUAUUAAUAAACCUUUUAAUAACGAAAUGGCUUAUAUAACAGAUUUUAAGAAUUCAAAAAAUAUAUCAAAUAAUUCAGAUUUACAACGGGAAUUACAAAUUAUUUAUAAUGCGUGUAAUUAUUUUGAAAAUUUUUGUAAAGAUGUUUACAAAUCUUGUUAUGAAGAUCUGGGUUUCAAAAAAGUUUCAGAAUUCCAAAACAAACCAUUAGACGACAAACUUAUCCCAUUUACCAAAGAUUUAUCAACUUAGUCAAUACUGAAUAUUAAAGGCUAAGAGCUUCAACAAGUUAAAUUUAAAAAGUAGAUUAAAAUAUCAUUUAUCAAUAAUUAAGAAUUAUUAUAUUUUGCAUGUAUAAUUUAAAAAAAUAUUUUUGUAAUUCAUAUUUUGCUUAACAUAUCUCUUAUUAUUUUUUUUAAUUAGCUGCAUUUAACACAGUCUUUACCUGCACACUUUCUACAAAAUAAUACUUAGAAUAGUUCACUAAGUAAAAAAAUAUAAUUUUAUAGUUAAUCGCGUUAAAAAUCAUUAGUAGUUUUUACAUUUGAAUCGGUUUUUUUAAAAAGGCCAUAUCUCCAUAAAAUUUUAUUUUUCUGGAAACGUAAAAAACUGUUUUUAAAGAUCAAAAUAAAUUUAGAUGAAAAUUGAAUAAGGGUUGAAUUAUUGAAUUCCCUUAUAAAAAACCAACUAUGAUAUAAUAUUGACUAUUUAUACCUAUUGGAUUAUUUUAUGAGGGAAUGAACGUGUUUUUCAUAUGGCCUUUUCCAAUGUAUUGUAAAUUUUCAUUGAUUAUGACCUCGCGACUCUGAUCAAUUGUUUAUUGUAUAUUAUCAUAUAAAAUUAAUUAAUUAGUCUUACAAAAUAUACUGUGCAUUCUUUGUAAUAAUUUUAUUUAUGAACUUCAACAUCACUUCUUUUUAGUUAAUUUUUUAUUUUAAUACCAAUCGUAGACUCAGUUUCGUUUUCGAAUUUACUCAAAUUGACUUAUUAUUAUUUUAUAUUCUUGAUAAUUACAAUAAUUAUUAUUGUUAUUAUCAACUGUUAUCGUCAACAGAUAGACAAUAAACCAGAUGAAAAUAGAAUUUUAACAAAUAAAAUUGCUGAUCAAGUUAUUUUUGGAGAAAUGGCCUUUUCGAAUGCACUUGUUAUUUUUAGACUAAACGAGUUGUUGGAGAUAUGACGGUUUCGCAGGAAUUAUGAAUUAUUAUUAAAUAUACACAUCUAUCACAUAAAAGCAGUUUUGAAAAAAUGUGGAGAAAUGGCCUUUUCGAAAUGACCGAUUCAUUUAAUAAAAUAGUGAUAUAAUGUUAUAUUAAAGUUUAUUUGAUUUUAUUAAAUAUAAUUAUAAUUAUACAAUUA